Molecule: ribosomal RNA, 253 nt
Filed under: Parasutterella excrementihominis YIT 11859
Lineage: Bacteria; Pseudomonadati; Pseudomonadota; Betaproteobacteria; Burkholderiales; Sutterellaceae
Description: partial 16S ribosomal RNA
Rfam family: Bacterial small subunit ribosomal RNA
Source: RNAcentral
UACGUAGGGUGCGAGCGUUAAUCGGAAUUACUGGGCGUAAAGGGUGCGCAGGCGGUUGAGUGAGACAGAUGUGAAAUCCCCGAGCUUAACUCGGGAAUGGCAUAUGUGACUGCUCGACUAGAGUGUGUCAGAGGGAGGUGGAAUUCCACGUGUAGCAGUGAAAUGCGUAGAUAUGUGGAAGAACACCGAUGGCGAAGGCAGCCUCCUGGGACAUAACUGACGCUCAGGCACGAAAGCGUGGGGAGCAAACAGG